AGAGUUUGAUCCUGGCUCAGGACGAACGCUGGCGGCGUGCUUAACACAUGCAAGUCGAACGAAAAGAGGGAAAGAGCUUGCUCUUUCCGGAAUUGAGUGGCAAACGGGUGAGUAACACGUAAACAACCUGCCUUCAGGAUGGGGACAACAGACGGAAACGACUGCUAAUACCGAAUAAGUUCCAAGAGCCGCAUGGCCCAUGGAAGAAAAGGUGGCCUCUACCUGUAAGCUAUCGCCUGAAGAGGGGUUUGCGUCUGAUUAGCUGGUUGGAGGGGGUAACGGCCCACCAGGGCGACGAUCAGUAGCCGGUCUGAGAGGAUGAACGGCCACACUGGAACUGAGACACGGUCCAGACUCCUACGGGAGGCAGCAGUGGGGAAUCUUCCGCAAUGGGCGAAAGCCUGACGGAGCAACGCCGCGUGAGUGAUGACGGCCUUCGGGUUGUAAAACUCUGUGAUCCGGGACGAAAAGGCAGAGUGCGAAGAACAAACUGCAUUGACGGUACCGGAAAAGCAAGCCACGGCUAACUACGUGCCAGCAGCCGCGGUAAUACGUAGGUGGCAAGCGUUGUCCGGAAUUAUUGGGCGUAAAGCGCGCGCAGGCGGCUUCCCAAGUCCCUCUUAAAAGUGCGGGGCUUAACCCCCGUGAUGGGAAGGAAACUGGGAAGCUGGAGUAUCGGAGAGGAAAGUGGAAUUCCUAGUGUAGCGGUGAAAUGCGUAGAGAUUAGGAAGAACACCGGUGGCGAAGGCGACUUUCUGGACGAAAACUGACGCUGAGGCGCGAAAGCGUGGGGAGCAAACAGGAUUAGAUACCCUGGUAGUCCACGCCGUAAACGA
RNAcentral lists this ribosomal RNA (836 nucleotides) under uncultured bacterium. Its description in RNAcentral is "bacterial SSU rRNA". It matches the Rfam family "Bacterial small subunit ribosomal RNA", at positions 8 to 809 of the family's 1533-position model. The record is from RNAcentral.